Molecule: long non-coding RNA, 607 nt
Filed under: Mytilus galloprovincialis (Mediterranean mussel)
Lineage: Eukaryota; Metazoa; Mollusca; Bivalvia; Mytilida; Mytilidae
Source: RNAcentral
GUCCGGCUGGCUUGCAAGUUCAUGCAUCGUUUCACUUCUGUAGGUAUUGAUCAGUGUACACGACCGUUACUUAUAACUUUCCAUUUUGAACUAUCAGGUGCAUGUAUAAUAUACAUGUUUGUCUUGCGUGUCCGAAAGUGAUAUUUAUACUAGUCAUUACUGAACUCAUACGCUUGUUUAUAAAUAACAUUUCUGGUGUAAAGAAUAUUAUCUAUAAAAAAAAUUAAUACAAAAAAAAAAAUUGAAGAAAUACAAAUCUAUUUACAUAUUUUUCCAAGGGUUAAUUUGGGAAAAUGUAAUAUAUACUCAUUGUCAAUAGUUUAGGACAGAUUGGAACAUACCAGAAUUAUUGAUUUAAAAAAAUGUGCGCACUUGUCGACGAUUCGUGUAUACAUACGCCUAGGUAGAAAGUUACGGAACUAUAGUCAGUAGCGCAAUUUAAAAUAUGUAUACAUGUAUACAUUGAACAUAAGAAAGAAACAUACAUUUUGUGUAAAUUGUGGUAAAAGUUUUGUAAAUUAUUAUAGACUAGUCCACGUAUGCCAACAGUAUGUAAUCAACGAAUUCGAUAGACUAUUGUAUACCAAAAGAAGAAGAAGAAAAAAAA